RNAcentral lists this ribosomal RNA (467 nucleotides) under uncultured bacterium. RNAcentral's name for it is "bacterial SSU rRNA". It matches the Rfam family "Bacterial small subunit ribosomal RNA", at positions 28 to 507 of the family's 1533-position model. The record is from RNAcentral.
GAUGAACGCUGGCGGCGUGCCUGACACAUGCAAGUCGGACGGUUCUUGUACCUUCAAGCUUGCUUGUUGGUGCAAGGAUAGUGGCGGACGGGUGAGUAACGCGUGAACAUCUACCCAUUGGAGGGGGACAACCCGUCGAAAGGCGGGCUAAUACCGCGUAAGCCGCGAGGUGAGAGGCUGCCUAUUGGUGGCCGCCGAUGGAUGGGUUCGCGUCCUAUCAGCUGGUUGGUGGGGUAACGGCCUACCAAGGCGAAGACGGGUAGCCGGUCUGAGAGGGCGACCGGCCACACUGGGACUGAGACACGGCCCAGACUCCUACGGGAGGCAGCAGUGGGGAAUAUUGCACAAUGGGCGAAAGCCUGAUGCAGCGACGCCGCGUGAGGGAGUGACGGCCUUCGGGUUGUAAACCUCUUUUGUACGGGAAGAUAAUGACGGUACUGUACGAAUAAGUCCCGGCUAACUACGUG